Molecule: long non-coding RNA, 930 nt
Organism: Homo sapiens (human)
Lineage: Eukaryota; Metazoa; Chordata; Mammalia; Primates; Hominidae
Product: long intergenic non-protein coding RNA 970
Source: Ensembl
GAGGGGAAGCGGAGAGCAGGAAUGGCAGGAGAGCGGUGAGAGACCUCCGUCCCAGUGAGGAUGACAUGUUCUAACUCAGGAAAUGAAUAGAUGCUCUUGCGAUUGAAGAAAAAUCUACGCUGGAGGCAGACAGGCUGGCAGGCUCUUCUAGGGAAAAUUUGCGUCUGUGGCCUUAGUCCAGAACACACCCUAGUCUUCUCUGGAGGGAAACACAGUCAGGGAAGGAAGAGAUUUUGUAAUGUGGACAGUGUUCGGUGUUCAUCGCUGAGGAAUCUGAGUGUCAGUUUGCAUUCAUCAUGGGCGGAGGGCCCCACAGCUGGCGGAAGGCCAGCUGCAGUGUAAAGAUAAGGAGACUGAAGCAUCUAGAGUUGGAGUAAUUUCCACAAGAUCACAGAGGCAAGAUUUCACUCUGUCACCCAGACUGGAGUGCAGUGGCACAAACAUAGCUCACUGAAGCCUCAAACUCCUGGGCUCAAGAGAUCCUUCUGCUUCAGCCUCCUGAGUAGCUGGGACUUCAGAAUCCCAGUCCUCUCUCUCUCACUGACCCCGAAGAUAAGCAUUGGAAAGGGGAGCUUUGGGGAAAUGAAUCUGCCCUGUCAUCUGCGUAUAGAGCUAAUCUUAAAUCCCAACUGCCAAAUGGAUCCUGAGGUGUCAGAAACUCUCCCGAGAUAAGGGGGCUUCUAGCAACCAUCUGCAUUCUGGACCCAGGUAUGUUGUGUUUGUAAUCUCAUUCACUCACUCGUUCAUUCUUCCAUGCCUCCCCUGAUCCCCUUCCUGAAGUAAGAGCCUUCUGUUGAUGUCGAUGAAAGAACCCUGUUUAUUUUCUUCAACUGAGAGUCUAACACACUGUGCCCUGGGCAAGGUUGAGAAUCAGCCAAAGCUUGUCUUCUUUGUCCAAUAUAAUCUAAUAAAUGGGUGUGUAACCACUUG